This is a long non-coding RNA of Cavia porcellus (domestic guinea pig), 1243 nucleotides long. RefSeq lists it as uncharacterized. The transcript is spliced from 4 exons. NCBI's taxonomy places the organism in Eukaryota, Metazoa, Chordata, Mammalia, Rodentia, Caviidae. The record is from RefSeq and is a predicted model, not a curated record.
CACGGACCGCUUCCUCUAGGGAUCUGAGCCCUUUCCCUGGUUGUUGAGACUGUCCAUUGCAUGUCCUGAGAGAGUCAGUCUGAUGUUUCUCUGACUUCCUACUGUGUAGCAGCUGUCCAAAGUCCUCACGCUACAGCUACCUCUGUCUGCCAUAAGCUUUUGUCUGAAGAGGUCUCCUUUCCCUGGUCUCCUAGUUUUGUCUUUAAAGCCCCCUUUCUGCAAUGUCUGGGUAAGAACUAUGCAUCAUGGAGUCCAGCUUGGCUUUGCAAACUGCUGCAGUCUCCACCCAGUCAGUGGCCACCAGAUCUGCAGAGAGUCUGCUUUCUGGCCCACCAGCACCAGACCUGUUGGUGGUUUCCUGUUCACCCCUCCACCACUGGACUUCCUGGAAGGUGAAACAGAAGAGGAUCAGGGUGACUUGGGGCAAAUCUGCUGGUGGUACCUCUUGUUCUACAGCACCUGAGCAAAACCGGGAAGAGACAGCACAGAGACUCCUGAUGGCCUUAGAACAGAAGAGACAUCCAGAAAAAUGUAAGGCAGAGAGGAAGAAUUGGGGAUUGGGGGCUUGGCAGACCCAGGAGGGAGGGCUCAGGAGGUUUGAUCCCUGCAGGAGCUGACCCUCCCUUUUAGUGCAGUGUGGGCAGAGUGUGAGGGAAAAGUCCCAAGCUGAUGAGACAGAGUAAUGCUGCCAUGACUGUAUAGGUGCCCAAAGCAGACGGGGAUGAGAGGAGAUAGUUUAUCACUGGGCACAGCAAAUGGGAUUGCACCAACAUAGCCCCCUGCCCUUAGGCCCCACAGGACCGUGCCAUGGGCUCAGAUGGGUUGUACCCACCCACUAGGCCUCCUUGAAGCUGAGGAACUCAAGGCCAAGGGCUCAGCAUAUUUAGAGUAAGCAGCAAACCCUUUGGCAGGCACUAAAUAAAGCAGAUUCCUUUCCCCUGGCAAGCAGUUGCACAGCAAUCUCACUGAGGUGUCGUCCCUGUCCAGCCGCCUGCAGGGCCAGCUGCUGGCUGUUUAUUACCUAGGAGCAGCCACAGAAGUUAUGACUGUCUGAAGUUCCAUUCAGUGGCAGGAGGAGAACUAGCUGUGCCCUGCAGAUUUAAAGGGAUCGUGAAAGAUAAAAAUAAAGCUUUGCUCUGUGGUCACAGAUUUUAGUCAGAUUUUCUGUUUCUGGGACAUAAUAUCCAGACUCACAAUUUAAGGUUUAAUGAGGCUCAUGGUCUCAGAGGACUCAGUCCAUGGU